This 208-nucleotide ribosomal RNA is filed under the name uncultured Bacteroidota bacterium. RNAcentral's name for it is "uncultured Bacteroidetes bacterium partial 16S ribosomal RNA". It matches the Rfam family "Bacterial small subunit ribosomal RNA", at positions 568 to 775 of the family's 1533-position model. The record is from RNAcentral. Lineage: Bacteria; Pseudomonadati; Bacteroidota.
UGCGUAGGCGGAUAGAUAAGUCAGUGGUGAAAACCUGCAGCUUAACUGUAGACUUGCCGUUGAUACUGUCAGUCUUGAGUAUGGUCAAGGUAGGCGGAAUGUGUAAUGUAGCGGUGAAAUGCUUAGAUAUUACACAGAACACCGAUUGCGAAGGCAGCUUACUGGGCCAUUACUGACGCUGAUGCACGAAAGCGUGGGGAUCGAACAG